RNAcentral lists this ribosomal RNA (449 nucleotides) under uncultured bacterium. Its description in RNAcentral is "partial 16S ribosomal RNA". It matches the Rfam family "Bacterial small subunit ribosomal RNA", at positions 329 to 795 of the family's 1533-position model. The record is from RNAcentral.
UCCCAGACUCCUACGGGAGGCAGCAGUGGGGGAUAUUGCACAAUGGGGGAAACCCUGAUGCAGCGACGCCGCGUGAGUGAAGAAGUACUUCGUUACGUAAAGCUCUAUCAGCAGGGAAGAAAAUGACGGUACCUGACUAAGAAGCCCCGGCUAACUACGUGCCAGCAGCCGCGGUAAUACGUAGGGGGCGAGCGUUAUCCGGAUUCACUGGGUGUAAAGGGAGCGUAGACGGCCAAGCAAGCCAGGGGUGAAAGCCCGGGGCCCAACCCCGGGACUGCUCUGGAAACUGUACGGCUGGAGUGCAGGAGAGGUAAGUGGAAUUCCUAGUGUAGCGGUGAAAUGCGUAGAUAUUAGGAGGAACACCAGUGGCGAAGGCGGCUUACUGGACUGUAACUGACGUUGAGGCUCGAAAGCGUGGGGAGCAAACAGGAUUAGAUACCCCAGUAAUA